GACAAGUUUCUCUGCAUUUUUUUCUUUGUUUUCCCCUCCUCUGCUUAGGCUGCCAUUCCAGAGACCUUAACCUUGAUGAGAAGCACUCCUCUCUAGGGGUAAAAGGUAAUUUACCCACUCUAAACAUUGUACUAGUUGUUUCCACACCUCUGAGCAAAGACUCCUGAAAAACAAUGUCAAAUGGAGGCUAUUACUCCAUGAAUAAAACUUAAUCAAUAAUAUUGUUACAGUUUAGUGUUUAAGUUUGAGGGAAAUAUGUUUAGGGGGAAAAAAGGAAUGAGAAAAUCAAAUCAACCAUGUCUUAAAAUGCAUGGUGAACAUGUCCCUGGCCUUAUGUCCUUUGUGGAAAUUGUGCUUAUACAACAGAUAACUCAGCAAUGAAGUCAAUAACUGGCAAACUUGAUACUUCCAAAGGCACUAAAGAGGAAUGUCAACCAACACUGAUGAGCAGCUUUGAACCCAAGGCCUUUCAGAUGCUGCUUGACAAGUUAACAGGCUUUUCUUCCUCUGUAGAAAGGAAGCUUCGGAGAGACUGCAUUUCUGGCUGACAAUCCGGACUCAGAGCAGAGAUGUCCUGCUGAACGUCAACGUGUUACUAACUCAGCCCAUGUGGCAGUCCCUUUAGUAAAAAUGACUAAAACAUUGAACAGGCUGCCUGCCACAAGGUCCGGAGAAGCCAAGAGCCAUAUUAUAUCAUUCUGUAGAAGCAAGUUCUCAUCUCAUAUGCACCAGCAUACAUGUGAAGUAGUGGAUUUCCAGCAUCAUAAAUGGGAACAAAAUUUGACUUAAAAUACCUGAUACGGAAGAUAUGCUUCUAGACCUUCCUGAAUCAUCGUCAUGGACAUUGCACUGCCAGCAGACUAGUGUUUCUAGACCUCUAAGAAGUGGAGGGGCUUGAAGGCAACACGGUAGGCUAAAGCCAACCCAGACUUCCAGGAAGGUGAGACAGCAUGGAAAAAAGGCCUAAAUACAGAAAACCAGGGGUGAGGCAGUUAGAGGGAAGUGGAAACUGGUGCAAAAGAGAGGUGAGAAAGGAAGACGGGACCUAAGAUGCUUCAUACCAGGAUGGUUUCCACACCAGGUAAUGACAAAAGCCAAUCAUAACCAGUCACAUCUAGGUGGGUCUCUCACUUUUCAGAGAACAGAGGUACUUUUAGAUGUGCCACACCUCAGAAAAAUUACAACAGGCCCCUUGCUAGUGAAAAGCAAGAAUUUACAUGUUUGCAUUCCCUUCUCCAGUAAAAGAAUAUAUAGAAUAUUCCUCAAUCCAGUCUUCCUCAAUGCAGAAUAUUCUUCAAUUUCUGACCCCUUUGCUAUCUCUUCUGUAGAUCAGAUGUGUGGAAAGACUCAGAAUUAAUUGUGUGGAUCCCUGAAUCACACUGAUUCCUUAUUAUAUUCCACUGAAAGCAAUCUUAUUGUUACUUUACAUUCGUGUUAACAAAGAGCCUGAAUGAGAUAUAGGGAAGAGAUGUUAUAUUUUAAAUAAAUGUCCAGGUAAUGUGCCACAGGGGAGCUUAGGAUCAAAUGAGGUUUUAUAUUUUUAUGUAGAAUGUAAUCACUUUUUUCAUGAUUGUGGCUCCUCCAUUACUGUUAUUAAAGAGUUUAUUAUUCUAUGGGGGAUACUGCUCUUUGGUAUUACGUGCUUACAGACCAAAAGAGAUAGUGUCUUCUGAUCCCUUUAAAUCACAAUAAAGCCAUGGAACAACAUUGUACUGUAGUAUUAGAACUGGCAAAGUGUUCGACGUACCAACUCUGAUCAUGCUGCAGGCAGGCUGUUUCAGAUCUGCCUGCAUUUUAAGAUGA
Alligator mississippiensis (American alligator) is the source of this 1803-nucleotide long non-coding RNA. RefSeq lists it as uncharacterized. Lineage: Eukaryota; Metazoa; Chordata; Crocodylia; Alligatoridae. The record is from RefSeq and is a predicted model, not a curated record. The transcript is spliced from 3 exons.